UACAGAGGGGGCAAGCGUUGUUCGGAAUUACUGGGCGUAAAGGGCGCGUAGGCGGCCUUCUAAGUCGAACGUGAAAUCCCCGGGCUCAACCCGGGAACUGCGUCCGAUACUGGAAGGCUUGAGUCCGGGAGAGGGAUGCGGAAUUCCAGGUGUAGCGGUGAAAUGCGUAGAUAUCUGGAGGAAUACCGGUGGCGAAGGCGGCAUCCUGGACCAUUACUGACGCUGAGGCGCGAAAGCUAGGGGAGCAAACGGG
Molecule: ribosomal RNA, 253 nt
Filed under: uncultured bacterium
Lineage: Bacteria
Description: partial 16S ribosomal RNA
Rfam family: Bacterial small subunit ribosomal RNA
Source: RNAcentral